UCCGGUAAACUCGUUUCAACUCUUACGUGCUAAGAAUAUUUUUGUGUGUUGUUAUUUUGCUUAAUUAUAAUUAUUAUGGCAUUUUCGUUGAAAAUUAUGUUCAGUAAAGGAAAAUCUAAAACCGGUGAAAGUAGUCGCCAAAAUACUACCCCUCCCCCGGCUCCCCGACCUAGAAAAGAUAAGCAAGUUCAAAGUAGUAGCCAACCUAGAAAUCUUAAUGAAC
Molecule: long non-coding RNA, 223 nt
Filed under: Nicotiana benthamiana
Lineage: Eukaryota; Viridiplantae; Streptophyta; Magnoliopsida; Solanales; Solanaceae
Description: long non-coding RNA (NBEN_LNC018896)
Source: RNAcentral